CCCUAAGCGAGAAUCAUACCCCUAGACCAACGAGCCGACAAAAGGGUGAAAGUUACAUGUCAACGGGAAAUAAUUGCAAAUAGCUGGGCGAGAGAUAUCGACAAGAGCAUCUCUAGACUCUACGUUAAUUGAAUAGAUUUGGAAGUAACAUUUUCGUAUCGACAUAUUUUGUUUGACUAAUCACAGCCAUUGACUGUUUCAAAAGAGCACUUCCGGGCUCGUCCGGGAUUUGGACCCGGGACCUCUCGCACCCUAAGCGAGAAUCAUACCCCUAGACCAACGAGCCGACAAAAGGGGUGAAAGUUACAUUUCAACGGGACAUAAUUGCAAAUAGCUGGGCGAGAGAAUUUGAAAAGCGCAUAUCUAGACUCUACCUGAAUUGUAUAAAUUUGGAUGUAACAUUUUCAUUCCGACAUAUUUCGUUUGACUAAUCACAGCCAUUGACUGUUUCAAAAGAGCACUUCCGGGCUCGUCCGGGAUUUGGACCCGGGACCUCUCGCACCCUAAGCGAGAAUCAUACCCCUAGACCAACGAGCCGACAAAAGGGUGAAAGUUACAUUUCAACGGGACAUAAUUGCAAAUAGCUGGGCGAGAGAAUUCGACAAGCGCAUCUCUAGACCCUACGUUAGUUGAAUAAAUUUGGAAGUAACGUUUUCGUAUAGAAAUAUUUCGUUUGACUAACCUAUUGCCUUUUUUAAAAGACCAAUUCCGGGCUCGUCCGGGAUUUGGACCCGGGACCUCUCGCACCCAAAGCGAGAAUCAUACCCCUAGACCAACGA
This is a long non-coding RNA of Gasterosteus aculeatus aculeatus (three-spined stickleback), 779 nucleotides long. The record is from Ensembl. NCBI's taxonomy places the organism in Eukaryota, Metazoa, Chordata, Actinopteri, Perciformes, Gasterosteidae.